RNAcentral lists this small nuclear RNA (200 nucleotides) under Corchorus olitorius. RNAcentral's name for it is "U2 spliceosomal RNA". It matches the Rfam family "U2 spliceosomal RNA". From Rfam's summary of the family: U2 is a small nuclear RNA (snRNA) component of the spliceosome (involved in pre-mRNA splicing). Lineage: Eukaryota; Viridiplantae; Streptophyta; Magnoliopsida; Malvales; Malvaceae. The record is from Rfam by way of RNAcentral.
AUACCUUUCUCGGCCUCUUGGUUAAGAUCAAGUGCAGUAUCUAUUAUUAUCAGUGUAAUAGUCUGAUAAUCUGAGCCUACGGGUUCAUUGCCCUGGUAUUAAUUUUUUAAGGGAAGGACCCAUGGUAGCUUGCUACUCAGGGUUCCCUUUGUAUCACCUUUGCUUUUUGGCACACCCACCAAUAUUUUGGCACACCCACU